Molecule: ribosomal RNA, 107 nt
Organism: Pan paniscus (pygmy chimpanzee)
Lineage: Eukaryota; Metazoa; Chordata; Mammalia; Primates; Hominidae
Source: Ensembl
AUCCAUGGCUGGACCGACCUGAAUGCGCCUGGUCUCAGAAGCUAAGCAGGGUUGGCUUGGUCAGUACUUGGAUGGGAGACCACUGGGGAGACCCGGUGCUGUAGACU